AUUGAACGCUGGCGGAAUGCUUUACACAUGCAAGUCGAACGGUAGAGGGGGCAACCCCUCGAGAGUGGCGAACGGGUGAGUAAUAUAUCGGAACGUGCCCAGUCGUGGGGGAUGAUGUAGCGACAGAUACGGUAAUACCGCCUACGAUCUAAGGAUGAAAGCGGGAGAUCGAACGACCUCGCGCGAGUGGAGCGGCCGAUAUCAGAUUAGGUAGUUGGUGGGGUAAAGGCGCACCAAGCCAACAAUCUGUAGCUGGUCUGAGAGGACGACCAGCCACCCUGGAACUGAGACACGGUCCAGACUCCUACGGGAGGCAGCAGUGGGGAAUUUUGGACAAUGGACGCAAGUCUGAUCCAGCCAUUCCGCGUGCAGGAUGAAGGCCCUCGGGUUGUAAACUGCUUUUGUACGGAACGAAAAGGUCUCUCUUAAUACGGGGGACUCAUGACGGUACCGUAAGAAUAAGCACCGGCUAACUACGUGCCAGCAGCCGCCGUAA
This 496-nucleotide ribosomal RNA is filed under the name uncultured bacterium. Its description in RNAcentral is "partial 16S ribosomal RNA". It matches the Rfam family "Bacterial small subunit ribosomal RNA", at positions 30 to 523 of the family's 1533-position model. The record is from RNAcentral.